This 506-nucleotide ribosomal RNA is filed under the name uncultured bacterium. RNAcentral describes it as "partial 16S ribosomal RNA". It matches the Rfam family "Bacterial small subunit ribosomal RNA", at positions 29 to 523 of the family's 1533-position model. The record is from RNAcentral.
AGUGAACGCUGGCGGUAGGCCUAACACAUGCAAGUCGAACGGCAGCACAGGAGAGCUUGCUCUCUGGGUGGCGAGUGGCGGACGGGUGAGGAAUACAUCGGAAUCUACUUUUUCGUGGGGGAUAACGUAGGGAAACUUACGCUAAUACCGCAUACGACCUACGGGUGAAAGCAGGGGAUCUUCGGACCUUGCGCGAUUGAAUGAGCCGAUGUCGGAUUAGCUAGUUGGCGGGGUAAAGGCCCACCAAGGCGACGAUCCGUAGCUGGUCUGAGAGUAUGAUCAGCCACACUGGAACUGAGACACGGUCCAGACUCCUACGGGAGGCAGCAGUGGGGAAUAUUGGACAAUGGGCGCAAGCCUGAUCCAGCCAUACCGCGUGGGUGAAGAAAGCCUUCGGGUUGUAAAGCCCUUUUGUUGGGAAAGAAAUCCAGCUGGCUAAUACCCGGUUGGGAUGACGGUACCCAAAGAAUAAGCACCGGCUAACUUCGUGCCAGCCGCCGCAGUAA